Long non-coding RNA from Carassius auratus (goldfish), 3507 nucleotides. The record is from Ensembl. NCBI's taxonomy places the organism in Eukaryota, Metazoa, Chordata, Actinopteri, Cypriniformes, Cyprinidae.
AUCACCAGGGGGUUGUCUCCACAGAGACAAAGGAACUUUUCCCUCCGCUUCAGAUCGCGGACUUUCAUUGGCUGUUUACGCGAAAAGAGGCGGGGACCAUCUCAAGCCAUAAGAACGACCGAACAAGGUCCGCCCUCUCUCUUCCGCUCUUCUUACGCUGACUCCCUUCCCUCCUGCAUCGACCAACGUUGCUUCCGCACGGCCUUAGGCCGCGCUCAUAGCGCAAGCCCCCUCAGCACAGGGGCUGAGAGAAAAAGCCAUUUUAAUGGCUCCUUUGGAAGCUUUCGUUCUUUUCUUUUCUUUUCUUUACUAAGUUUAUUCAACUAUUCGCCUCUCCACGCAAGGAAGACGAAUUCUGGAACAUUGUUUGUUGAACCUUUCAAAUACCGCGCGAGGACAGAACAAAAGACCACGUGCUCCAGCGUGCGCCGGUCUCCAGCACGCGCACGCCGGUUUCAAAAGAUCCAGCGCGCCCCGAUGUCCAGCUCACGCACAUUGGACACUUUGCAAGUCACCGUGGCCACCAGAUCCAGUCUGUAUCCAGAUCAGAGGGUCACUGCAGUCGCCCGGAUCCAGUACGUAUCCAGACCACAUGGUGGAUCAGCACCUAGAAAGGACCUCUACUGCCCAGAAAGACAGCAGAGACCGGGACAACUAGAGCCCCAGAUACAGAUCCCCUGUAAAGACCUUGUCUCAGAGGACCACCAGGACAAGACCACAGGAAACAGAUGAUUCUUCUGCACAAUCUGACUUUGCUGCAGCCUGGAAUUGAACUACUGGUUUCGUCUGGUCAGAGGAGAACUGGCCCCCCAACUGAGUCUGGUUUCUCCCAAGGUUUUUUUUCCUCCAUUCUGUCACAGAUGGAGUUUCGGUUCCUUGCCGCUGUCGCCUCUGGCUUGCUUAGUUGGGGUCACUUCAUCUACAGCGAUAUCAUUGACUUGAAGGCAAAUAAAUGCACAGACACUAUUUAAACUGAACAGAGAUGACAUAACUGAAUUCAAUGAUGAACUGCCUUUAACUAUCAUUUUGCAUUAUUGAGACACUGUUUUCCAAAUGAAUGUUGCUCAGUGCUUUGAUGCAAUGUAUUUUGUUUAAAGCACUAUAUAAAUAAAGGUGAUUGAUUGAUUACGCGCGUCUGGAGGUCUCGCGGCACAGUAGACGCGAAUUCGCCUCAUUCACGCAUCUAGUUACAGAAGAUUCUGAGUUAUGAAAAGGACCAUUGCAAGCUGACAGCGACUGGCUUUUGUGGUGGAAUAUUGGCAGUAAUACCCCCACCUUGGGCAGCUGUACCUGAGUGUCCCUGGGACAUCAGUACGGUUAGAGGGAGUCUUCUCAACAGCUGGACAUAUAGUGAAUAAAAAAACGCUCUGCUCUGGACACCGAAAAUGUUGAUCAAAUUGUUUUCCAGUCCAAUAAAUUUGUAAUGGCCCUAGCCUUUUUGCACAUUUCGUUAUGCCUGCCUAAUGCCGCCUAGCCUAAGUGUCGGUUAUGUUCAAUAAAAAAAACACACAUGGUCUGUUCUCAAGUCCAUUUAAAGUUUCAUUUUUUGAACAGUUGUUUGAAAUAGAUUAAAUCAUUAUUUUAAAUAAUCUUGGAGAUUUUUGAAUUGCCUAAAUCAUAAAUGCAGCCGGGUUGAAGCCUGCAGUGAUGUUUUUCUUUUGCUAUGGCAGCCGUCCCCUCUGCAUAAAUAUAUUUUUCGAGAAUGUCUUAAAAAUUGAAAAUGAUUUUCUCACAAAAGUGACAGCCCUAGUAUAUAUAACAUUUUAAUAGAUAACUUGAACAAAGACCAAAGAUUAGAUUUACCCCAAUCAAAUUAUAUUUUAUCUUGAACCACUAAAGAGACAUCAGAGCUAGCGGAACAUAUCAAAAGGAAUAGCCGAGGUGAGAGUGCUCUAUGCAGAUACAUGAUCACUGAGCUCCCGCUAAUCGCAUGGAUAGGGCUGUGUACCGAACUUCGAUGCCUUUAUGGUAUCGAACGAAAAACUUUGAUACUAUGAGUAUUGAAAAAGUAUUUAUCUUUCGAUGCCAAAUCCCAAAAGCCAAGCGGCGUUUUUUUUUUUUUGCCAAGCGGCUGUGUCUGUGUGAGCUUGUAGCAUAUGUGCAUGUAAGGACCUAAAUUCGCCGUUACUGGCUGUCCACCACCACAUGACAUGACGGGGAGGAUUUCUGAAGAUACUCGCAGUCACUCAACACAAGUGUAGUUGUUUUUUCUCAAAACAUUUCCCUUUUACAAUGCCAAAGAGCUCUAAAGUGUGGCUACUCUUUAUAAAAGUGGAUGCCGAGUCAGAAAAGUGCAACAUAUGUGAUAAGAGGAUUGCAACCAAGCCGGCAAUACCACCAAUUUAAUUAAGCAUUUGUUUGGGUGAGUGUUUUAGCCUCCCUCACUGUUUAGUUUGGUCUACUCCAUUCCGUAUCUUGAAAACGCCCCCUUUCACGUUGACUAAAUAACAGAGAGAGAGAGGCUGCGUCCGAAAUCGAAUACUUCUCUACUAUAUAGUAUGGAAAAAGCAGUAUGCGACAAAUUAGUAUGUUUGAAUCUUUUGCGUUCAUAAAAGAGUAGGCGAGAAUUGCAAAAACUCUCGCGAGAUUCAGUUGUACGUAUACUUAAUUUGCGUUCUAAUAUGCCUGCUCACCUACUAUAUAUUAGGGAAAAAGAGUAUGUGAAGAAAGAAGUACGUUCGAAACCUUAAACCAUAAAACAGUAGGCGAGUAAUCCCCAGAUGUCCUACUGCUUCAGCGAAGAUUCUGAAGGGUUCAUCGAGGGAAACUUUUCAAUCCCAGAAUGCCACGCGAAAGGGAUAAAUCGUCAUCGAACGUGAAGGAGAGCAGCGUAGAGGGUGUUUACAAAGGUGAGUAUUAUAAAACAAAACACGGUUCCCAUGUGAUAAAAUCGUAUUUGUUGAGCUACUGUAGAGUAAACUGUUGAUUUGUUAAGAUGUAAAGACGCAAGCCAGUAACAUCAUAGUAUAUUUGUGAUGAAAAACAACAUCAAAACAUGUUUUAUUAUGUAAAGCAACAGCGGAUCUCCAGUAAGCAUAUGUAACGUUACGUCUCCAAAGUGGAUUUGCAUGACCCAUAUACAUCUUAAAGACGAUUAAUUGUCUGUUUAAUAUGAGACAGAGAAAUGUUCUAAGAGAACUUAAAAAGAGCAAAUCACAUGAACAGACAUUUGAGUGAGAGAUGUGUAUGUUAUUAUGUGUUUACAUUGCUUUAGAUGAAUGUAAGUAAUGUAAAUAAAUAAAUCUACAUUAAGUAAACAUAAGUUAUCUAUUUCAUUUGACCAUUAGUGUUGUUGAUAAUUGUGGAGCUCUUGUGUUGGAUAAAGUGAGUGAACACAUCAGCAUCUAUCUCAACAUGUAAAUGCAGUAUAUCACAGAUAAAUCAAAGAGACUGACUCUUGUCUGGAUGUUACAGGGACAGGGACAGUGUUUAUCUGCUGCAGAGAGACUGAUGAAGAAAUCAUGCCAUCAAAGAUUCUCAGUAAGUACACUACAGUCAUCAAAACAU